RNAcentral lists this transfer RNA (72 nucleotides) under Camelus bactrianus (Bactrian camel). It matches the Rfam family "tRNA". Rfam says of the family: Transfer RNA (tRNA) molecules are approximately 80 nucleotides in length. Their secondary structure includes four short double-helical elements and three loops (D, anti-codon, and T loops). RNAcentral also lists the same sequence under 2 other names. The record is from Rfam by way of RNAcentral. Lineage: Eukaryota; Metazoa; Chordata; Mammalia; Artiodactyla; Camelidae.
GGGGGCAUAGCUCAGUGGUAGAGUGCAUGUUUAGCAUGCAUGAGGUCCCAGGUUCAAUCCCCAGUACCUCUG